This 253-nucleotide ribosomal RNA is filed under the name uncultured bacterium. RNAcentral describes it as "partial 16S ribosomal RNA". It matches the Rfam family "Bacterial small subunit ribosomal RNA", at positions 524 to 776 of the family's 1533-position model. The record is from RNAcentral.
GACAGAGGGUGCAAACGUUGCUCGGAAUCACUGGGCAUAAAGCGCACGUAGGCGGUCGGCUAAGUCCGAUGUGAAAUCCCCCGGCUCAACCGGGGAACUGCAUCGGAUACUGGCUGACUUGAGAGUUGUAGGGGUGGACGGAACUCCAGGUGGAGCGGUGAAAUGCGUAGAUAUCUGGAGGAACACCGGAGGCGAAAGCGGUCCACUGGGCAGUCUCUGACGCUGAGGUGCGAAAGCUAGGGUAGCAAACGGG